This 430-nucleotide ribosomal RNA is filed under the name Salmonella enterica subsp. enterica serovar Havana. Its description in RNAcentral is "partial 23S ribosomal RNA". The stretch from base 1 to 368 matches the Rfam family "Bacterial large subunit ribosomal RNA", at positions 875 to 1230 of the family's 2925-position model. The record is from RNAcentral. Lineage: Bacteria; Pseudomonadati; Pseudomonadota; Gammaproteobacteria; Enterobacterales; Enterobacteriaceae.
UAGCGCCUCGUGAAUUCAUCUCCGGGGGUAGAGCACUGUUUCGGCUAGGGGGCCAUCCCGGCUUACCAACCCGAUGCAAACUGCGAAUACCGGAGAAUGUUAUCACGGGAGACACACGGCGGGUGCUAACGUCCGUCGUGAAGAGGGAAACAACCCAGACCGCCAGCUAAGGUCCCAAAGUCAUGGUUAAGUGGGAAACGAUGUGGGAAGGCCCAGACAGCCAGGAUGUUGGCUUAGAAGCAGCCAUCAUUUAAAGAAAGCGUAAUAGCUCACUGGUCGAGUCGGCCUGCGCGGAAGAUGUAACGGGGCUAAACCAUGCACCGAAGCUGCGGCAGCGAACGUAUCACUUAAAGCGAUUCAGCGGGUUACGAUUGACGGAGCGAAGCGACGUCAAAGCGUAUACAAAGUCGAGUCGGUUUAAGGAUACGUU